AAGGAUGGAGUUAAAAAGAAACUGGAGAAAAUAAAGAAGAAUCAUCUUUAUAUUUAUGCAACAAGAAAGAAAAAUGAAGCUACUCAUCUCAAAGCAUACUGGAGUCAAAGGAAUAAAACUAUACCUAAACAAAACCAUGUCAAUGAAGAAUUGGAAAACCAGAGCCUAUCAAGAAUUCACUGCAGCCAUCAAGAACUGAUUGAAAACGAAAUAACUUCCGGAGUGCAUGAAGUAGUGUACUAUGAAGAAAGCUAUCCGGCAAAG
Bacillus rossius redtenbacheri is the source of this 264-nucleotide long non-coding RNA. RefSeq lists it as uncharacterized. The transcript is spliced from 2 exons. The record is from RefSeq and is a predicted model, not a curated record. Lineage: Eukaryota; Metazoa; Arthropoda; Insecta; Phasmatodea; Bacillidae.